CUGGAGGUAUCAGAAGUGCGAAUGCUGACAUAAGUAACGAUAAAGCGGGUGAAAAGCCCGCUCGCCGGAAGACCAAGGGUUCCUGUCCAACGUUAAUCGGGGCAGGGUGAGUCGACCCCUAAGGCGAGGCCGAAAGGCGUAGUCGAUGGGAAACGGGUUAAUAUUCCCGUACUUGGUGUUACUGCGAAGGGGGGACGGAGAAGGCUAUGUUGGCCGGGCGACGGUUGUCCCGGUUUAAGCGUGUAGGUGUGUGUUCCAGGUAAAUCCGGUUCACUUUAACACUGAGGCGUGAUGACGAGGCACUACGGUGCUGAAGCAACAAAUGCCCUGCUUCCAGGAAAAGCCUCUAAGCAUCAGGUAACAC
RNAcentral lists this ribosomal RNA (364 nucleotides) under Salmonella enterica subsp. enterica serovar Bovismorbificans. Its description in RNAcentral is "partial 23S ribosomal RNA". It matches the Rfam family "Bacterial large subunit ribosomal RNA", at positions 1273 to 1637 of the family's 2925-position model. The record is from RNAcentral. Lineage: Bacteria; Pseudomonadati; Pseudomonadota; Gammaproteobacteria; Enterobacterales; Enterobacteriaceae.